CCUACGGGCGGCAGCAGUGAGGAAUAUUGGUCAAUGGGCGCGAGCCUGAACCAGCCAAGUAGCGUGAAGGAUGACUGCCCUACGGGUUGUAAACUUCUUUUAUAAAGGAAUAAAGUGAGGCACGUGUGCCUUUUUGUAUGUACUUUAUGAAUAAGGAUCGGCUAACUCCGUGCCAGCGGCCGCGGUAAUACGGAGGAUCCGAGCGUUAUCCGGAUGUAUUGGGUUUAAAGGGAGCAUAGAUGGGUUGUUAAGUCAGUUGUGAAAGUUUGCGGCUCAACGGUAAAAUUGCAAUUGAUACUGGCAGCGGUGAGUACAGGUGAGGUAGGCGGAAUUCGUGGUGGAGCGGUGAAAUGAUUAG
Molecule: ribosomal RNA, 358 nt
Filed under: uncultured bacterium
Lineage: Bacteria
Description: partial 16S ribosomal RNA
Rfam family: Bacterial small subunit ribosomal RNA
Source: RNAcentral